Dermacentor andersoni is the source of this 188-nucleotide small nuclear RNA. RefSeq annotates it as U2 spliceosomal RNA. NCBI's taxonomy places the organism in Eukaryota, Metazoa, Arthropoda, Arachnida, Ixodida, Ixodidae. The record is from RefSeq and is a predicted model, not a curated record.
AUGCCGACUUAGCAGACCUGAGUCAAAGUAUAGUAUGUGUUCUUAUCAGCGUAGUAUCUUAUGUGAGUUACAUUUUUACCGAAGGUAUUAGACUUAUCUUUGUAAGCUGGCGGAGUACUUAAAACCUCCUUUCCCUCCGGCGCGGAUUGGCCCGGUAUUUCGCUAUCUCCGGGAUUGGCCCAAGGUUC